CAAUAUUGACGCAAGGCAAAAUAGUGGAACAAAAGAAACAACUUCCUCGAAGCUUUUGCUGAAGCUGCACUUGGCGAGCGCGCCCGCCAGCUCAACUCGCCGGCCGGGAGCCGCGGCGGACGGCCGCCGGGCUGGCGUGGUGGGUGUCACCCCGGCGGAGCGAGGCAGAGAUGCGGGUCGAGCGCAUCCAACAAGCGCCCAUGGCCAAUCAGCGGCGAGCGCCCGUGCCCGCCGCCAGCCAAUAGGAGGGCCGGCAUCCUCUGUCGAAUUUGAAUGAGGAGUGUAUCUUUCGGCGCCAUUUUCGAGUGAGCAGCGGUCGUCCGAGCAGCUGCUGCGGCGUUUCGCGAGCAGGAUGCGGCGGACGGGAGGAGCCGGAGCCGCCGCUUGGUUUUUUUUUUUCCUCCCCCAACUCUUUUUCCUUCUCGCCGGGCAGAUGACGAACUAGUUUCCCCGCGACGGGCCGAGAAGCGAAUAAGCGGCGUUCCGAAGGAGAGCGAGGGUUGUCCGGCGGGACCGGAGGACCCCUGGCGCGGUCCGGCAGAACCUCCGCCGGCAAGAUCAACCCCCCCGACUGUUGUGGCAGUGCCGUAGCAGCACGGAAUGGUUUGUGGGUUACACUGAGAUGCAGGCCAUGCCGUGCUGCCACAGUGAAGCCCGACCCGCUCGUCCGGAACGCCACAGCCCGCCGCUCGCAGCGUUACCGGCGCAGGUCACUUGACUGUAGCAGCACGUAAAUAUUGGAGUGGACUCUCUCGGCCGAAUCCUCCAGUAUUGAUCGUGCUGCUGAAGCAAAGAUGACCGCUCGCUCGCUCGCACGCACGCUAACGCAAUCGCCAGCGCAAAAAAAAAAAAAGUUCUUGUCGAGCGUCUCGAUGUUUGUGUGAAUAAACCAGCUGGAGUUGAGAUUUUGUCUCUUUCGUGUCUUCAAAUAGAAAACAUUCCACAUCUUCCAAAAACAAACAAACAAACAAAAAAAAGUGUCCAUCUUUGAGUUGAGGGGAAAAAAAAGUUCACAGCGAAGCCAAUUUGAACUCGGUUGCUAACCAAAUAAGCUGCACUCAAACGGUAUGUGAGCCUUCCCACACACUUACAUACAAUGUCGUAUGUUUGCGUUUAUACUGCACGCGACAAAGACUUAUGUUUUAAACUCCACUUUGAUUUGGCAUCAAAUGAAAUAUCCAUUUUAAUUUCAUCAUCGGAAUAAUAAUCUGCCCCCUUCUGCAGUUGAGUAGAUACUGUACAGGCACCUGUUGGCCACUGUUGGAGAAAAGGCACUCCCAACGAUUUGACUGUGGAGUCAUGAAUGU
Syngnathoides biaculeatus (alligator pipefish) is the source of this 1307-nucleotide long non-coding RNA. RefSeq lists it as uncharacterized. NCBI's taxonomy places the organism in Eukaryota, Metazoa, Chordata, Actinopteri, Syngnathiformes, Syngnathidae. The record is from RefSeq and is a predicted model, not a curated record. The transcript is spliced from 3 exons.